AGUCACUGACAUUAGAUACCCGGGUAGUCCCAGCCCUAACGAUGCGCGUUAGGUGUAUCGGUGACCACGAGUCACCGAGGUGCCGAAGGGAAACCGUGAAACGUGCCGCCUGGGAAGUACGGUCGCAAGGCUGAAACUUAAAGGAAUUGGCGGGGAGCACCACAAGAGGUGGAGGCUGCGGUUCAAUUGGACUCAACGCCGGAAAACUCAUCGGGAGCGACAGCAGUAUGAUUGCCAGGUUGAUGACCUUGCUUGACAAGCUG
RNAcentral lists this ribosomal RNA (263 nucleotides) under uncultured archaeon. RNAcentral's name for it is "partial 16S ribosomal RNA". It matches the Rfam family "Archaeal small subunit ribosomal RNA", at positions 719 to 982 of the family's 1478-position model. The record is from RNAcentral.